Non-coding RNA from Lachancea thermotolerans CBS 6340, 116 nucleotides. The record is from Rfam. NCBI's taxonomy places the organism in Eukaryota, Fungi, Ascomycota, Saccharomycetes, Saccharomycetales, Saccharomycetaceae.
AUCUCUUUGCCUUUUGGCUUAGAUCAAGUGUAGUAUCUGUUCUUUUCAGUGUAACAACUGGAAUGUCCUCAAUGAGGAUGUUUAAUAUGUUACAAAUCAUAUUUUUGGAACGUCAA